Molecule: long non-coding RNA, 902 nt
Filed under: Musa acuminata (dwarf banana)
Lineage: Eukaryota; Viridiplantae; Streptophyta; Magnoliopsida; Zingiberales; Musaceae
Description: long non-coding RNA (MACU_LNC004303)
Source: RNAcentral
UGCUAACUAGAUAUCUAAUCUCAAUUCGAAUUCUAAUCGACUAACGACUUCGAAUCUGAUUAAGAUUCAUCUGGAUAUAAUCAGAUAUAUCUAAAUAUUUGGAAUCUAACUACAAUCCUAACACAAAGAGUCGCUGGGUUGUCUUGGUUUCAAAUAUAACAUAUUCCGGUCCAUGUAAGAUUCUACAUUCUAACUUGGAUUCAGCGAAGAAAAAGUCUACUCACACUGCAACUCCAUGUUUUGAGCAAGUCAUGGGAUGAAAUUGACGAGAACUUGUCCCAUUUGCAGCUCCAUGUCAAUUGUGGCGAGUACAACCCAACUAAAAUCGCUUCUUACCCACUAUAUGAAUGCCUAAAUUUCAGGCACCACGGGAUAUCGACAAUCGAGUAUAUGAUACCUGAAAUACUAGGGUAAAACUUGAGGAGAUAGUGUACAGAAAUCAUAGAAAGAUUCACGUGAACAUGUACAGAAGAGUCAUACGUAGACAUGCAGAACUUUCCUUUUCCUUUUGUGUGCAGAAGUAGCUUGGCAGAGUGAACAAGAUCAAAACUUACUCGGAGAAGAGUGGAAGGAGGAACUGAUCAUGACCCCGGAGAGAAGCAAGAGAGCUGAAUCUACAUAUAUAAGUGUGCCACCCAUAUCCCCGAUUUAUAGUCUGUGUGACUGGUUGCUGAAAAGAACACGUACGUCAAUGGGAUAUCAAAGGAACACAUUUGCCGCAGUGAUUGGCAAAGUGUUGGAAGGAGGAUCAGACGAGAAACGAGGACCAAAGAAGCUGGGGAAGGUGGAGCGGGAUGGAUAGAGCUCGAGUGAUUAGGUCCGUGUGAAUGAAGAUAAAUCUACAUAUAACAAUCAAAAUCAUAAAACGAAUGAACAGUUCGUCUAACACUCUCCUUCACAAG